UCAAGAGACAGUCUUGUAAUUUUAUUUAUUGUUUGUUUAUUUAAAAAUGUGGUAUUGGAGAUAUAUGAGAUGUAUGAGAUAUAUACUACUGACAAAGAUCCUGAGGAUACCACAGAAAGAAUAUAUGAGCCUCCAACACACUACAAAAUAUUUCAGAGGGUUAUAUUUUUUGGCCCAGAAAAUAAAUGUUUUAAAUAUGCUUUUACUGAAAUACAAAACCAGUGGAGAGAAGCAUACAAAUCAUCAGUGCAUGAAUCAAUGAAUGAUCCAUGAAGUCCAUAAGUCUUGCAAACACCUCCCAGACCAAGAAUUAUGGUGUUUACUCACCCCAGAAGCUUCGCUGAAUCCUCUUCCAAUCAUAAUCCCUGCCCUCCAUGCACUAGCAGUCCCAGACAUCCUAUAUCCAAUCUAAAAUUCACUUCCUAUAAAAGCUAGUCUUGCUUUGACUUGCCUUUACUCCUGGCAUGUAAACUUUAGGGUCCUUAGCCCAAAGUCACAAGAGAGCUUAGCUCCAGUUUUUAUCCUCUGGUCCUCAUGAGUCUGUUCAAAAGAUUUCAAUUUCUGAGCUGCUUGGCUGCCUCUUCCAAAAUGUGCAUGUACAGGUGACAUGGAUGCUGUCAGCUGGCAGCCCUGAUAAUCAUUGAUUCUUUCCUUGCCUUCAUUAUCUUCCAUUUCUCAGUAUUGGAAUCCAUAAUAUAAGUAGUCUCUUGUUUUUACCCUAAAUAACCUUGAUUUCUGUCAGGUUUCUAAAUUUUCUGGAUCCAGACAAAGAUAUAUUAAUUUGUUUUAUACUCAUUUGUUUUCUUCUUUAAUGAUAUUUAUUCAAUUGAAAAGUGUGUACUAUUAUUACCUGAUUUUUGGUUCUUGUGAUGGUGGUUUUCCGUUUGCAAAUAGUUGUUGAAAUUUGGUGUUCCUGCAGGGAGUACAAACUGUAUAAGCUUCUAUUUACCAUCUUGCUCUACCCCCUCCUUGACAUAUUUAAGAAGAUUGAAAUUAUGACAAGUAUCUUUUCUAACCACAAUUUAGUGAAACUGGAAAUCAAUACCAGAAGGAAAACUGGAAAACUGACAAAUAUAUUGAAACUGAACAAUACAUUCUUGAGCAACAAUUGGACCAAAAAAUAGAUCAAAUCAGAAAUGAAGUGUUACCUAGAGACAAAUUAAAACAAACAAAAAAACCCAAUAUACCAAAACUUAAAGGAUGCAGCAAAAGCAGUAGUCAGAGAAUUCAUGGUGAUAAACACCUACAAUAAAAAACAAAUCUCAAAUAAGCAACCUACAUUUAUACCUCAAGUAGCUAGAAAAAUGGGAACAAAGAACAAUGUCCAAAGCUAGCAGAAAGAAGAAAAACACAAAGAUCAGAGCAGAUAUAAAUAAAAUCAAAAACAGAAAAAUAAUAUACAGAAAAUAUCAAUGAAAUUAAGAGCUGGUGUUUUGAAAAGAUAAAGAAAAUUGGCAAACCCUUAGCUAGAGUAAGAAAAAAAGAGAGAAGACUCAAACAAAUAAAUUCAGAAAUGAGAGAAGAGAUAUUACAACUGACACCCCAGCAAUAAAAAAGAUCAUAAGGGACUACUAAGAACAAUCAUACAUCAACAAACUGGAUAACCUAGUAGAAAUAUGUAAAUUCCUAGAAACAUAUGACCUAACAAGACUAAAUCAUAAAAAAUAGAAAGUUUCAACAGACCAAUAACUAGUAUGAAAACUGAAUCAAUAAUUAAAACCUCUCAACAAAGAAAAACCCAGAACCAGGUACCUCAUGGGUUAACUCUACCAAGCAUAAUUGUAAAGAAACAUCAAUGUAUUUCUAUUUAAUUAAAUUGUUUUUAUCAUAAGUAGUUGUUGAAUUUUGUCAAAUACGUGUUCACCAUCUGUGGAGGUCAUUAUGAGAUUCAGGAUUAUAUGAUUUUUCACUGUACAUGUGUUGAUAUUAUUAUAUGUACAAUAAAGAGCUGGA
RNAcentral lists this long non-coding RNA (1953 nucleotides) under Homo sapiens (human). RNAcentral describes it as "HSALNT0242622". The record is from RNAcentral. Lineage: Eukaryota; Metazoa; Chordata; Mammalia; Primates; Hominidae.